AGUGAACGCUGGCGGUAGGCCUAACACAUGCAAGUCGAACGGCAGCACAGUAAGAGCUUGCUCUUACGGGUGGCGAGUGGCGGACGGGUGAGGAAUACAUCGGAAUCUACUUUUUCGUGGGGGAUAACGUAGGGAAACUUACGCUAAUACCGCAUACGACCUACGGGUGAAAGCAGUGGAUCUUCGGACCUUUCGCGAUUGAAUGAGCCGAUGUCGGAUUAGCUAGUUGGCGUGGUAAAGGCCCACCAAGGCGACGAUCCGUAGCUGGUCUGAGAGGAUGAUCAGCCACACUGGAACUGAGACACGGUCCAGACUCCUACGGGAGGCAGCAGUGGGGAAUAUUGGACAAUGGGCGCAAGCCUGAUCCAGCCAUACCGCGUGAGUGAAGAAGGCCUUCGGGUUGUAAAGCCCUUUUGUUGGGAAAGAAAAGCAGCAGGUUAAUACCCCGCUGUUCUGACGGUACCCAAAGAAUAAGCACCGGCUAACUUCGUG
RNAcentral lists this ribosomal RNA (492 nucleotides) under uncultured bacterium. Its description in RNAcentral is "partial 16S ribosomal RNA". It matches the Rfam family "Bacterial small subunit ribosomal RNA", at positions 29 to 507 of the family's 1533-position model. The record is from RNAcentral.